This 726-nucleotide ribosomal RNA is filed under the name uncultured delta proteobacterium. Its description in RNAcentral is "bacterial SSU rRNA". It matches the Rfam family "Bacterial small subunit ribosomal RNA", at positions 99 to 787 of the family's 1533-position model. Lineage: Bacteria; Deltaproteobacteria. The record is from RNAcentral.
CGCACGGGUGAGUAACGCGUAAGUUAUCUACCCUCCCAUCUGGAAUAACUCAGCGAAAGCUGUGCUAAUACCGGAUACGUUGAUUUAUCAAGAAAGGUGGCCUCUGAUUUAAGCUACCGUGGGAGGAGGAGCUUGCGUACCAUUAGCUAGUUGGUAGGGUAAUGGCCUACCAAGGCAACGAUGGUUAGCGGGUCUGAGAGGAUGAUCCGCCACACUGGAACUGGAACACGGACCAGACUCCUACGGGAGGCAGCAGUGAGGAAUAUUGCGCAAUGGGGGAAACCCUGACGCAGCGACGCCGCGUGGAUGAUGAAGGCUUUUCGGGUCGUAAAAUCCUGUCAGAAUGGAAAGAAAUUGUACAUUGUGUUAAUAUCACUUUGUAUUUUGACGGUACCAUCAAAGGAAGCACCCGGCUAACUCCCGUGCCAGCAGCCCGCGGUAAUACGGAGGGUGCAAGCGUUGUUCGGGAAUUACUGGGGCGUAAAGCGCGCGUAGGCGGCUAUUUAAGUCAGAUGUGAAAGUCCAUGGCUCAACCGUGGAAAGUGCAUUUUGAAAACUGGGGUAGCUUUGAGUAUUGGAGGGGGGUGUGGUGGGAAUUUCCCGGUUGUAGAAGGGUGGAAAUUCGUAGAUUAUCGGGGAGGAAUACCGGUGGGCGAAAGCGACCACCUGGGCCAAAUACUGACGCUGAGGUGCGAAAGCGUGGGGAGCAAACAGGAUUAGAUACCC